UGGGGAAUAUUGGACAAUGGGCGCAAGCCUGAUCCAGCCAUGCCGCGUGAGUGAUGAAGGCCUUAGGGUUGUAAAGCUCUUUCGCCGACGAAGAUAAUGACGGUAGUCGGAGAAGAAGCCCCGGCUAACUUCGUGCCAGCAGCCGCGGUAAUACGAAGGGGGCUAGCGUUGUUCGGAAUCACUGGGCGUAAAGCGCACGUAGGCGGAUUGUUAAGUCAGGGGUGAAAAGCCUGGAGCUCAACUCCAGAACUGCCCUUGAUACUGGCAAUCUCGAGUCCGGAAGAGGUAAGUGGAACUGCGAGUGUAGAGGUGAAAUUCAGUAGAUAUUCGCAAGAAACACCAGUGGCGAAGGCGGCUUACUGGUCCGGUACUGACGCUGAGGUGCGAAAAGCGUGGGGAGCAAAACAGGAUUAGAUACCCUGGUAGUCCACGCCGUAAACGAUGG
RNAcentral lists this ribosomal RNA (445 nucleotides) under uncultured bacterium. RNAcentral's name for it is "partial 16S ribosomal RNA". It matches the Rfam family "Bacterial small subunit ribosomal RNA", at positions 355 to 812 of the family's 1533-position model. The record is from RNAcentral.